UUUUAAAGCAAGUGACACUGUUUACUCCUGAGUUCACUUAAUGAAUGCACUUUAAAUUCAAGACCCAAGCUAAGGUUGUAGAAUUAGAGCAAACAUUAGAGUACACCAAUAUCAUCUAUGGGAGUAAACCUUCUUAAGGGGAGGAGAGAAGGAAAUGGGAAGUGUACAUAAUACUCUAUUUAAAUCCUUGGUUAUCUGGUGUAUUCUGGAAUUGGGGCAGAAGAGAGGCAGCCAGCUUGGUAAGGGCCUUAGCUAUAAUGUCCAAGUGGCCAUUCAUUGUCCUCAGCUCCACAAGAAUGUUCCCCACAUCUGCUUCCAAACUUGGAGUUACAGGAGGUACCUCUUUGGAACCUGAAGGACCCAGGCGAGAGGAUGAGGACGGAGAUGGGAGAUCUGUGGUGGAACGACCAGGUUCUUCAGAAGAUAGAAACAAGGUGGUGGAAGAUGGAGAGUCCAGGCUGCUAUGUUCUGAAUCUGUUAAGAAAUAAACAAGAAAUUUGUUAUUCACUCGUUUCAGUUGUUAUUUAUCCUUC
RNAcentral lists this long non-coding RNA (533 nucleotides) under Monodelphis domestica (gray short-tailed opossum). Its description in RNAcentral is "lncRNA (ENSMODG00000050552.1)". Lineage: Eukaryota; Metazoa; Chordata; Mammalia; Didelphimorphia; Didelphidae. The record is from RNAcentral.